Molecule: unclassified non-coding RNA, 177 nt
Filed under: soil metagenome
Description: partial internal transcribed spacer 1
Source: RNAcentral
CCGAGUUAGCAAACUCCAUCAACCCUCGUGAAUCAUACCGAUACGGUUGCCUCGGGCUGGCGGUCGGAAGGCAUCGGGCCCCGGAUACACGGGUCCCGCUCGGGAGGCUGCCCGCCGGAGGACCGAACCUAAACUCUGAUAUUCUAUAUGUUUCUUCUGAGUACACUAAAUAAGUCA